ACGGGAGGCAGCAGUGAGGAAUAUUGGUCAAUGGCCGGAAGGCUGAACCAGCCAAGUAGCGUGCGGGAUGACCGCCCUAUGGGUCGUAAACCUCUUUUGACAGGGAAUAAAGUGAGGCACGUGUGCCUUUUCGCAUGUACCUGUCGAAUAAGCAUCGGCUAACUCCGUGCCAGCAGCCGCGGUAAUACGGAGGAUGCGAGCGUUAUCCGGAUUUAUUGGGUUUAAAGGGAGCGUAGGCGGAACGUCAAGUGAGCUGUGAAAUGUAGGCGCUCAACGUCUGCACUGCAGUGGAAACUGGCGUCCUUGAGUGCGUGAGAGGCGGGCGGAAUUCGUCGUGUAGCGGUGAAAUGCUUAGAUAUGACGAAGAACUCCGAUUGCGAAGGCAGCUCGCUGGGCCGCAACUGACGCUGAAGCUCGAGGGUGCGGGUAUCGAACAGGAUUAGAUACCCUGGUA
Molecule: ribosomal RNA, 454 nt
Filed under: uncultured Prevotellaceae bacterium
Lineage: Bacteria; Pseudomonadati; Bacteroidota; Bacteroidia; Bacteroidales; Prevotellaceae
Description: bacterial SSU rRNA
Rfam family: Bacterial small subunit ribosomal RNA
Source: RNAcentral